This 280-nucleotide unclassified non-coding RNA is filed under the name Hevea brasiliensis (rubber tree). Lineage: Eukaryota; Viridiplantae; Streptophyta; Magnoliopsida; Malpighiales; Euphorbiaceae. The record is from RNAcentral.
AGUGAAGAUCAUGGAAUGCAACGUGAAAGAUGGACAAUUAGUCAUACCAGUCUUCUAUGAUGUGGAUUCAUCACAUGUUCGAAACCAAAGUGAAAGCUUUGCAGACGCAUUUACCAAACACAAAUUGAGGUAUGAGAAUGAUGAUGAAGGAAUCCAAAAGAUGCAAAGAUGGAGGACUGCUCUAAGAGAUGCCGCAGAUUUAAAAGGAUAUGAUAUCCGCGAUUGGAUUGAAUCUGAAUGUAUUGGGGAUCUUGUUAAUAGAAUUUCGCCCAAAUUACGU